UACUGGCUGCUUAACUGUGUUGUGCCUUAUCUGCAGAAAAAAUGAGUUAAAACACGCAUAGUGAGCAGUGAUAACUGUAGCUGUGAUUAUUUGAAAGGGGCCUUUUGAGCAGCUGCUUCUGCAAGAGGACAUCCGGAGACACAGGAAUAGAAAUGAUCCGAUCAGAGUAAUUAAAGGCUUUUAACUGAGCUCUGAGGUCCCAAACAGGGCACAUUCCGUCAGCCUAAAGCUGUGAAGAAGAACCUUCAACAUAAGGAACCUAGCAAGAUUGUACAAUGAAUGGUGAUUCUCGUGCUGCGGUGGUGACCUCACCACCCCCGACCACAGCCCCUCACAAGGAGAGGUACUUCGACCGAGUAGAUGAGAACAACCCAGAGUACUUGAGGGAGAGGAACAUGGCACCAGACCUUCGCCAGGACUUCAACAUGAUGGAGCAAAAGAAGAGGGUGUCCAUGAUUCUGCAAAGCCCUGCUUUCUGUGAAGAAUUGGAAUCAAUGAUACAGGAGCAAUUUAAGAAGGGGAAGAACCCCACAGGCCUAUUGGCUUUACAGCAGAUUGCAGAUUUUAUGACCACGAAUGUACCAAAUGUCUACCCAGCAGCUCCGCAAGGAGGGAUGGCUGCCUUAAACAUGAGUCUUGGUAUGGUGACUCCUGUGAACGAUCUUAGAGGAUCUGAUUCUAUUGCGUAUGACAAAGGAGAGAAGUUAUUACGGUGUAAAUUGGCAGCGUUUUAUAGACUAGCAGAUCUCUUUGGGUGGUCUCAGCUUAUCUACAAUCAUAUCACAACCAGAGUGAACUCCGAGCAGGAACACUUCCUCAUUGUCCCUUUUGGGCUUCUUUACAGUGAAGUGACUGCAUCCAGUUUGGUUAAGAUCAAUCUACAAGGAGAUAUAGUAGAUCGUGGAAGCACUAAUCUGGGAGUAAAUCAAGCCGGCUUCACCUUACACUCUGCAAUUUAUGCUGCACGCCCGGACGUGAAGUGCGUUGUGCACAUUCACACCCCAGCAGGGGCUGCGGUCUCUGCAAUGAAAUGUGGCCUCUUGCCAAUCUCCCCGGAGGCGCUUUCCCUUGGAGAAGUGGCUUAUCAUGACUACCAUGGCAUUCUGGUUGAUGAAGAGGAAAAAGUUUUGAUUCAGAAAAAUCUGGGGCCUAAAAGCAAGGUUCUUAUUCUCCGGAACCAUGGGCUCGUGUCAGUUGGAGAGAGCGUUGAGGAGGCCUUCUAUUACAUCCAUAACCUUGUGGUUGCCUGUGAGAUCCAGGUUCGAACUCUGGCCAGUGCAGGAGGACCAGACAACUUAGUCCUGCUGAAUCCUGAGAAGUACAAAGCCAAGUCCCGUUCCCCAGGGUCUCCGGUAGGGGAAGGCACUGGAUCGCCUCCCAAGUGGCAGAUUGGUGAGCAGGAAUUUGAAGCCCUCAUGCGGAUGCUCGAUAAUCUGGGCUACAGAACUGGCUACCCUUAUCGAUACCCUGCUCUGAGAGAGAAGUCUAAAAAAUACAGCGAUGUGGAGGUUCCUGCUAGUGUCACAGGUUACUCCUUUGCUAGUGACGGUGAUUCGGGCACUUGCUCCCCACUCAGACACAGUUUUCAGAAGCAGCAGCGGGAGAAGACAAGAUGGCUGAACUCUGGCCGGGGCGACGAAGCUUCCGAGGAAGGGCAGAAUGGAAGCAGUCCCAAGUCGAAGACUAAGGUGUGGACGAACAUUACACACGAUCACGUGAAACCCUUGCUGCAGUCUCUCUCGUCCGGUGUCUGCGUGCCAAGCUGUAUUACCAACUGCUUGGUCUGUGCCUACCUUACUGUUCAUAGUUAGAUGACGUAGAGCAAGUUGGGUAGCUGGGGCUUCGGAGGCUUUGGGAAUCCAGCCUUUCUGACCCAGGUGUAAAGCGAACCUUCCUUAUUCACUUUCUUGUAGUCUGAACCUAAGUCCACUGAAUGCAUUACUAAAAUUCGGGUAAUACUAUCUGCUUGAAACUGCUUAAGAUGUAAUGUAACUCCGCAGUAGUUCCAGUAUAUCUCCAUAUAUAGCAAAAAUACACAAUAAUUUACAUGUAUUAACCUACAAAUAGGAGCUCUUCUUAUUUAAUUCAAAUUAUAUUCAGGGACUCUUAAUACUUCAUGCACAAAAAGACACUUCAGUCCUAAACCUGUAUUUUAGUGUUGUGAACUCCAGUGGUUUCAAGUCACUAAAGUUUCUUCUUUAAGUCUUCAGUGUUUUCUUAAGCAGUUUUCCCUUGUGGCUCCCUGGUGUGUUCUCUGCUGACUCUUGUCCCCUGCCCUUAGUGUUAUUCCCCUGCUUUCUAUCCCAAAGCCUCCGAAUGCACACCCCCAGCUGCCCUCUGCAUGGACUGUUGCAUGUGAGUAGACGGCCAUAGUGGCGAGUCACCUUCUGACUCCUGC
This 2398-nucleotide small RNA is filed under the name Pan troglodytes (chimpanzee). Its description in RNAcentral is "retained intron". The record is from RNAcentral. Lineage: Eukaryota; Metazoa; Chordata; Mammalia; Primates; Hominidae.